CCUACGGGAGGCAGCAGUCGAGAAUCAUUCACAAUGGGGGAAACCCUGAUGGUGCGACGCCGCGUGGGGGAAUGAAGGUCUUCGGAUUGUAAACCCCUGUCAUGUGGGAGCAAAUUAAAAAGAUAGUACCACAAGAGGAAGAGACGGCUAACUCUGUGCCAGCAGCCGCCGUAAUACAGAGGUCUCAAGCGUUGUUCGGAAGCACUGGGCGUAAAGCGUGCGUAGGCUGUUUCGUAAGUCGUGUGUGAAAGGCGCGGGCUCAACCCGCGGACGGCACAUGAUACUGCGAGACUAGAGUAAAGGAGGGGGAACUGGAAUUCCCGGUGUAGCAGUGAAAUGCGUAGAUAUCGGGAGGAACACUAGUGGCGAAGGCGGGUUCCUGGACAUUAACUGACGCUGAGGCACGAAGGCGAGGGGAGCGAAAGGGAUUAGAUACCCCUGUAGUC
Molecule: ribosomal RNA, 446 nt
Filed under: uncultured bacterium
Lineage: Bacteria
Description: partial 16S ribosomal RNA
Rfam family: Bacterial small subunit ribosomal RNA
Source: RNAcentral